UACAGAGGUCCCGAGCGUUGUUCGGAUUCACUGGGCGUAAAGGGUGCGUAGGUGGCUUUGAAAGUUUGAUGUGAAAUCUCCGGGCUUAACCCGGAAAAUGCAUUGAAUACUCCAGAGCUGGAGGGUUGGAGGGGGGACUGGAAUUCUCGGUGUAGCAGUGAAAUGCGUAGAUAUCGAGAGGAACACCAGUGGCGAAGGCGAGUCCCUGGACAACACCUGACACUGAGGCACGAAAGCUAGGGGAGCAAACGGG
RNAcentral lists this ribosomal RNA (253 nucleotides) under uncultured bacterium. RNAcentral describes it as "partial 16S ribosomal RNA". It matches the Rfam family "Bacterial small subunit ribosomal RNA", at positions 524 to 776 of the family's 1533-position model. The record is from RNAcentral.